CCGGCCCAAGUUGGUUUCACAAUUAAUCUAGGUCAUUACCUUUUCCCAGCCUCCCUGUUCCUCUCGAUCUCUCUCACGCUGCCCACCGCCCCUCAACCUACCUGCAUCCCGGAGCGCCGCCCCUCACCACUCCCCUGCGAUCCUCCGUCUCGGAAGGCCGCCCCUCACCACUCCCCCUGCGAUUCUCCAUCCUGGCGCGCUGUCCCUAGUCAACUCUCCUCUGCGACCUUGCUUCCCGGUGCGCCGCCCCUCGUCACCGCUUCCCUACGACCUACUACGUCUACUACCUCCGCACGAGGGCCUGCGGCUAUGGGCAGAGUUACCGCUACAACAACCCUCGCAAUCGCGCUGCCGUGAGAAAUGCAAUCACACUCAAGCACUGAUAUGUUGCAAUGGACAUGACCCCAAAACUUUCGCCCUGUCUUUUAUUUGAGACACAGUUUGGUAACUUUUUGUUGCAUAUUUUCAUCCGCUUAAAAGACCAUUUCGAUCUCUAUGUUCUCUGCUACUACAAUCUGAGGAGCAGCUUGACAACUUUAUGCAGCUCGGUCGACUAAGCCACUGUGACGCUGGGGGAGAAGGACAUCGGUGCAGAGCAUGGCAAGGCCGAGUACUUGUUGGAUCUUAGGGCUUCUGAUCCACAGUUCUCCGCAUCAUCAUCCAUCAGCAUCUGGUGACAUUAUUAGCACUCAGAGCUUCAUAAGGCUUUCUGCCCACUACAGUUGGAGUUCAAGAGCGUAAGGAAGGUAAUCUGGUGAUCAAUCACUGUUGCUUGUCAGAAAACUCUGAAAAUAUUAUUGAGUACAUCUACCAUGAGCUAUGCUUGCCAUUUUAAAAGAUGUUUAUGUGAGCUUCAUGUCAUAUCAAUUUUUUUUGAAGCAAGCAGAUCUUGGGAUUUACUUAUGAUUUAUGAACAGAAAAUGUUUACUGUGUAACCCCUAAAUACAGUAGAAGAGAUUAGAGAAGCAGGUCUUAUAAAACUACGCUGAGCGAGUAGUACUUAUUUAGUCAAGUGACAUGUUAGAUAAAAUUCUACACCUAUUACAACUUAUCUGACUUCUGUAUUUUGUAAAGAUAGUUGAACUAGAUUGUGUUCCAGGAAUAAAAAACCAUGGAUGUUUUCCAUUUAUUCACUUGGCUUUUGGAAUUUGAUUGAUGUCCCCUUUCUCAUAUUAUUAACAACAUAUACCUACACGGUUCUCUCUACUGGUUUGCCAAAUUCUAGACACUUCUUGUGUGGUCCAUGCUUCCUCUUUGUACUAUGCUUACCUACAUUCGUAAUAUCACUCCUUUAUUCCCUUGACGUGCUUUUCCUUUACAAAGAAGAAUACACACCAUGGGGAAAAGAGAAGUAAAUUUGUAUUUGUAGUCUACAAACAGGGCGUCCUAAUUAUUUGUUCGAGCAUGCUACAGUCUUGUUUUCUCUGCCGUGUCUUCUCCUUUUCUUAGUAGUGUCACUACUGAUUGAUCUGCUCAGAUGUGCUAUUUAGAGUUUGAUAUAGAUAUAUACUAGCUAUUUUAUUAGGAGUUGGUGGUAAAGAUGAACUAAUGGUCGAUCCUCCCUGCUGUCCUCGCUGCACUUCAUGCAAAAUCAUUGGGCCGGUACUGGGAGUACCUCAUUUAUGAUGGAUCUUAUACUUCAAAGCUUAUUUAUAUUGCCUAAUAUGUUUUAUUUGUACUAAUUCGGUAAAUUUAAUUUAUCUUUUGGCUUAAUAUGUCCAAGGUAUUGAUAUAGUAAUAUUUUGUUACCUGAUUAAAGCUCAAACAUACUGCUUCAGUAUCUCCCAGUAGGUGCCUCAGAAUUAUGCAGUUGAUCGUACCAUACUGCUACUUGAAUAAAAAUGUUUAUCUUUGUGUUCUACACUGAAGCUAUCAUAUGAAGUUUAAUUAUUUUAAGCGUUCAUCACCAAAACUACUUUGUUGGUAGUGAAAGGCUUCAUAGAAUUUCAUAGAUGUUGCACAUCAUGAGAUUAACCCGUAGAAGAAUGUAUUCAUAACCAUAUGACGUGUGUGAUGUUGGGUUAUAGCCGUUGUAUGCUGAAAGGCUUUUUCCCUUGCUUCCUUCCAUUUUCUUCUAUGUGCAUUGACUAGACGUAUGUUUUUACAAUGUGGCAUGGUUUGAGCAUUUUAAAUUCUUUACACGCUUCCAUUAUUUCCCGCCCCAUUUAUAUUGGUAUGUCCUUUAAAUAGCAGGCAGGUACAUGUGUGAUGGCACAAUAUAACUCAGUGUUAGCUGGCUUAUAAUCUCUUAUCCCUUGAAAGACUUCAAAGAUGGCAUCUCAUGGGACAACACAAGAGACCAUAUAGUAAAGGAAAAGAUGCAAACACGAUAGGCAGGACCAAAAGUAUUUUUAAUGAGCCUGAAAAAUCAUAACGGAGACCGGUAUUGCUACAAUUAUUCAAAAGAUAAAUGGAUGAUUAUAUGGGUGUGUGGGCAAGCAUACUACUAUGAUGACGAUGAUGUUUGUGUUCAUGAUGAUGGAGACGGAUGCUUUCAGUUUUAGUAAAGUUGUAGGGAUGAUGUUCCUGUUGGACGAUGUUCCUCAAUUAUGUUUUAGUUAAUCUGUAGGGAUGUUGAUGCAUGCUUUCAAUUUAAGUUUCACCAUCAAGAGAACAUUUAUAUUAUACUCCCUCCA
Aegilops tauschii subsp. strangulata is the source of this 2636-nucleotide non-coding RNA. Lineage: Eukaryota; Viridiplantae; Streptophyta; Magnoliopsida; Poales; Poaceae. The record is from RefSeq and is a predicted model, not a curated record.